AUUUUUUUUUUUUUUCUUUUCAGUUAACUGCAGAAACAACAUGCUUGAAGACAAAUAUAACAUUUCAGAAUAACAUGCUUGAAGACAAAUAUAACAUUUCAGGUUCUGCUAUGAAAAGUAAUAGCGAAAUUCAUGCAAUCAUCCAAAUCAGUCAGUAACUUUCCAAGGCAGCACUGGGAGAAACACAUUAAAAAAAUGUAGAAGAGGAUGGUUUGCAACUUGGUGGGUGGCCCUAAUGCCAGGAUCCCACUGGAGCAUCUGAAUCACGGGAGGCCAUUCCUCACUCCCAUGACACUUGGCUGAGUUAAGCUGAACUGGCUGUUACGAGCGUGACCCACGUUGCUUCCUCCAGGAACGAGGAGCUCGCCUUGCCAAGAGGAGCUCUCCUCACUGUGCAUCUCUCCAAAAUGGGACAAAUCCGUGUCAGGUAGCCCAGCAGCUGCAACAGGAGCUGAGCACGUCAAAGGGCUAGAGACCCACUUUCUAUCUGAGAGCAACAAGACCUUUUAACCACUUCUUAUUUUAUGGAUAAACUUACAAUGAUUCCUCAAAGCUAUUUGCCAGAAGAAAUGAAAUACUAAAGAAGAGCUAAGAGGCAGAAGCAAACCUGCAUUCUUUUAGGUUUCUGAACUACUCUGUUCAGAUAAAACAUCUGCUUAAGUGCCUGCUUGUUAUAUCAUUAUGCUCAACUUUUUUUCUGACUGUUAUUCAU
RNAcentral lists this long non-coding RNA (712 nucleotides) under Calidris pugnax (ruff). Its description in RNAcentral is "lncRNA (ENSCPUG00000015288.1)". Lineage: Eukaryota; Metazoa; Chordata; Aves; Charadriiformes; Scolopacidae. The record is from RNAcentral.